GUGCUCGCUUCGGCAGCACAUAUACUAAAAUUGGAAUGAUACGGAGAAGAUUAGCAUGGCCCCUACGCAAGGAUGACACACAAAUUCGUGAAGCGUUCCAUAUUUUG
This 107-nucleotide small nuclear RNA is filed under the name Rhinolophus ferrumequinum (greater horseshoe bat). The record is from RNAcentral. Lineage: Eukaryota; Metazoa; Chordata; Mammalia; Chiroptera; Rhinolophidae.